Molecule: ribosomal RNA, 492 nt
Filed under: uncultured bacterium
Lineage: Bacteria
Description: partial 16S ribosomal RNA
Rfam family: Bacterial small subunit ribosomal RNA
Source: RNAcentral
AGUGAACGCUGGCGGUAGACCUGACACAUGCAAGUCGAACGGCAGCACAGUAAGAGCUUGCUCUUACGGGUGGCGAGUGGCGGACGGGUGAGGAAUACAUCGGAAUCUACUUUUUCGUGGGGGAUAACGUAGGGAAACUUACGCUAAUACCGCAUACGACCUACGGGUGAAAGCAGGGGAUCUUCGGACCUUGCGCGAUUGAAUGAGCCGAUGUCGGAUUAGCUAGUUGGCGGGGUAAAGGCCCACCAAGGCGACGAUCCGUAGCUGGUCUGAGAGGAUGAUCAGCCACACUGGAACUGAGACACGGUCCAGACUCCUACGGGAGGCAGCAGUGGGGAAUAUUGGACAAUGGGCGCAAGCCUGAUCCAGCCAUACCGCGUGGGUGAAGAAGGCCUUCGGGUUGUAAAGCCCUUUUGUUGGGAAAGAAAAGCAGCAGGUUAAUACCCCGCUGUUCUGACGGUACCCAAAGAAUAAGCACCGGCUAACUUCGUG